UGCACGAAAGUGUGAUAGGGGGAUUCCAAGUGCUUAUACUAAGUAUAAGCUUUUGCCAAGGGUAAAAACCUUGGAGAAUAAGUGGUGGGAAAGACUGGUGCCAGCAGCCGCGGUAACCCCAGCGCCACGAGUGGCAAUCACAUUUAUUGGGCCUAAAGCGUCCGUAGCCGGUCUGAAAAAUCUUUUGUGAAAUCGUACAGCUUAACUGAACGGCGUGCAGAAGACACUAUCAGACUAGGGACCGGGAGGAGUCAGAGGUAUGCCGGGGGGAGCGGUAAAAUGCUAUAAUCCCUGGUAGACCACCUGUGGCGAAGGCGUCUGACUAGAACGGAUCUGACGGUGAGGGACGAAAGCUAGGGGAGCGAACCGGAUUAGAUACCCGAGUAGUCCUAGCUGUAAACGCUGUGAACUAGGUGUUGCACAUUCUCCGAGAAUGUGCAGUGUCGAAGCGAAGGUGUUAAGUUCACCGCCUGGGAAGUACGGUCGCAAGACUGAAA
This 497-nucleotide ribosomal RNA is filed under the name uncultured archaeon. Its description in RNAcentral is "bacterial SSU rRNA". It matches the Rfam family "Archaeal small subunit ribosomal RNA", at positions 356 to 854 of the family's 1478-position model. The record is from RNAcentral.